AGCGCGGGCGACGCGUGAUGGGCCCCACUCCGCGCUUCAGCCGGAGUCUCUCCUGCAAAAGAAUCCUGUGCAUCUUUUUCCUGCCACUUAUCUUAGCAAGUUUUGCUCCCCGAGUGAAAGAUAAAGAGGGUCUUAUAUAUGCAAAUGCACAGCUACACCCAGCCGGCACGUUUAAUUGGUCUCACCUGACCCCCCUCACGCUGAAGGACCGAUCUGUGGGACUUGAGACUGUAAGCAGAGUCAGAAGUAAGCCAUACUUCACCCUGGGGGGUCACAAGUUCCUGAUUUUUGGGGGCUCCAUCCACUAUUUCCGGGUGCCCAGGGAGUAUUGGAGGGACCGCUUGCUGAAGCUGAAGGCCUGUGGCUUCAACACCCUUACCACCUAUGUACCAUGGAACCUCCAUGAGCCAGAAAGAGGCAAAUUUGACUUCUCUGGAAACCUGGACCUGGAGGCCUUUGUGAUGUUGGCUGCGGAGACCGGAUUGUGGGUAAUUCUGCGUCCAGGACCCUAUAUCUGCAGCGAGAUUGACCUCGGGGGCUUGCCCAGCUGGCUGCUGCAAGAUCCCAAGAUGAUAUUGAGAACAACCUACAAGGGCUUUGUGGGAGCAGUUGAUAAGUAUUUUGACCACCUGAUUUCCAGAGUUGUUCCUCUCCAGUACCAUAAGGGAGGCCCCAUCAUUGCAGUGCAGGUGGAGAAUGAAUAUGGUUCAUUUGCCAAGGAUAAAGAUUACAUGCUUUAUGUUCGAAAGGCCCUGCUGAAAAGAGGGAUUGUAGAACUGCUCAUGACCUCGGAUGAUGCAGAAAAUCUGCUAAAAGGCCGCAUAAAAGGAGUUCUGGCCACCAUCAACAUGAACAAAUUUGAGAAGAGUGCUUUUGAGCAGCUUUCCCACCUGCAGAGCAAUAAGCCCAUUAUGAUCAUGGAAUUCUGGGUUGGCUGGUUUGACACAUGGGGAAGUGAACAUUCAGUUGCUAAUGCUGAGGAUGUUAAGGAAACUGUGUCCAAAUUUAUCACAUCUGAGAUCUCCUUCAAUGUAUAUAUGUUCCAUGGUGGAACCAACUUUGGUUUCAUGAAUGGGGCCACAUAUUUUGGGAUACACAAAGCUGUUGUCACUAGCUAUGACUAUGAUGCUGUCCUGACAGAGGCCGGGGAUUACACAGAAAAAUAUUUCAAGCUUCAAGGACUCCUUAGCUCUGUCUUAGCAAUGCCUCUGCCACCUUUGCCCAAGCUCACUUCCAAGGCUGAGUAUCCUUCUGUGAAACCAUCCCUUUACUUGCCACUGUGGGAUGUUCUACAGUACUUACAUGAGCCAGUUAUAUCUCAUACACCAGUCAACAUGGAGAACCUCCCUAUAAACAGUGGGAAUGGCCAGUCCUAUGGAUUCGUGCUUUAUGAAACUUCCAUUUGCUCUGGAGGUUCUCUCCAUGCUAGUGUUCAUGAUACAGCACAGGUGUUUUUGAAUGAGAUAAGUAUAGGACUUCUGGAUGAUCAUACUAAGACGUUGAUUAUUCCUAAAAUCAGGGAAUGUCAACUUCUAAGGAUCCUGGUAGAAAAUCGAGGACGAGUCAAUUUUUCGUGGAAAAUUCAAGAUCAGCGGAAAGGACUAACUGAAUCAGUUACUAUCAAUAAGGUUCCCCUGAAUGGUUUUGCUAUCUAUUCUCUGGAAAUGACAAUGAGCUUCUUUGAAAGACUCCGCUCUGCCACCUGGAAGCGUGUCCCAAAGAACUAUUUGGGCCCUGCCUUCUACCUUGGUACCUUGAAGGUUGACUCUUCACCCAAGGACACCUUCCUUAGUCUACUGGUAGACCUGGAAUUCUGGAUUUGCAUUCAUCAAUGGACGUAACCUUGGGCGAUAUUCAAUUAUUGGACCUCAGAAAACACUUUACCUUCCUGGUGUUUGGCUUCAUCCAGAAGACAAUGAGAUCAUCCUGUUUGAGAAAAGGAAGAGUGGGUCAUACAUCCGAACUACAAAUGAACCCAUCCUGUAAGACUGUUAUAAUACAUUUCUA
Lontra canadensis (Northern American river otter) is the source of this 2007-nucleotide RNA transcript. It is a transcript of the gene named beta-galactosidase-1-like protein 3, with no coding region annotated. The transcript has 20 exons. Lineage: Eukaryota; Metazoa; Chordata; Mammalia; Carnivora; Mustelidae. The record is from RefSeq and is a predicted model, not a curated record.